CGGAGCUUGCUCCACCGGAAAAAGAAGAGUGGCGAACGGGUGAGUAACACGUGGGUAACCUGCCCAUCAGAAGGGGAUAACACUUGGAAACAGGUGCUAAUACCGUAUAACAAUCGAAACCGCAUGGUUUUGAUUUGAAAGGCGCUUUCGGGUGUCGCUGAUGGAUGGACCCGCGGUGCAUUAGCUAGUUGGUGAGGUAACGGCUCACCAAGGCCACGAUGCAUAGCCGACCUGAGAGGGUGAUCGGCCACAUUGGGACUGAGACACGGCCCAAACUCCUACGGGAGGCAGCAGUAGGGAAUCUUCGGCAAUGGACGAAAGUCUGACCGAGCAACGCCGCGUGAGUGAAGAAGGUUUUCGGAUCGUAAAACUCUGUUGUUAGAGAAGAACAAGGAUGAGAGUAACUGUUCAUCCCUUGACGGUAUCUAACCAGAAAGCCACGGCUAACUACGUGCCAGCAGCCGCGGUAAUACGUAGGUGGCAAGCGUUGUCCGGAUUUAUUGGGCGUAAAGCGAGCGCAGGCGGUUUCUUAAGUCUGAUGUGAAAGCCCCCGGCUCAACCGGGGAGGGUCAUUGGAAACUGGGAGACUUGAGUGCAGAAGAGGAGAGUGGAAUUCCAUGUGUAGCGGUGAAAUGCGUAGAUAUAUGGAGGAACACCAGUGGCGAAGGCGGCUCUCUGGUCUGUAACUGACGCUGAGGCUCGAAAGCGUGGGGAGCAAACAGGAUUAGAUACCCUGGUAGUCCACGCCGUAAACGAUGAGUGCUAAGUGUUGGAGGGUUUCCGCCCUUCAGUGCUGCAGCUAACGCAUUAAGCACUCCGCCUGGGGAGUACGACCGCAAGGUUGAAACUCAAAGGAAUUGACGGGGGCCCGCACAAGCGGUGGAGCAUGUGGUUUAAUUCGAAGCAACGCGAAGAACCUUACCAGGUCUUGACAUCCUUUGACCACUCUAGAGAUAGAGCUUCCCCUUCGGGGGCAAAGUGACAGGUGGUGCAUGGUUGUCGUCAGCUCGUGUCGUGAGAUGUUGGGUUAAGUCCCGCAACGAGCGCAACCCUUAUUGUUAGUUGCCAUCAUUCAGUUGGGCACUCUAGCAAGACUGCCGGUGACAAACCGGAGGAAGGUGGGGAUGACGUCAAAUCAUCAUGCCCCUUAUGACCUGGGCUACACACGUGCUACAAUGGGAAGUACAACGAGUCGCGAAGUCGCGAGGCUAAGCUAAUCUCUUAAAGCUUCUCUCAGUUCGGAUUGUAGGCUGCAACUCGCCUACAUGAAGCCGGAAUCGCUAGUAAUCGCGGAUCAGCACGCCGCGGUGAAUACGUUCCCGGGCCUUGUACACACCGCCCGUCACACCACGAGAGUUUGUAACACCCGAAGUCGGUGAGGUAA
This 1384-nucleotide ribosomal RNA is filed under the name Enterococcus durans. RNAcentral's name for it is "bacterial SSU rRNA". It matches the Rfam family "Bacterial small subunit ribosomal RNA", at positions 74 to 1438 of the family's 1533-position model. The record is from RNAcentral. Lineage: Bacteria; Bacillati; Bacillota; Bacilli; Lactobacillales; Enterococcaceae.